RNAcentral lists this long non-coding RNA (634 nucleotides) under Anas platyrhynchos platyrhynchos (common mallard). Its description in RNAcentral is "lncRNA (ENSAPLG00000019012.1)". The record is from RNAcentral. Lineage: Eukaryota; Metazoa; Chordata; Aves; Anseriformes; Anatidae.
CCAAAAUAGGCCAGAUCUUGUUCCCAUGCCCAAGGACUUCUACACCCUCCCUGACACAGCAGGUAUCUCCCAGUGGUCAGCACAUCCCACCCUGCCCUCAGAGCACGCAGUGCCUCUCGCAGACCCUUGGCAGCAAGCAGGGACUGUGCCAAACUAGACAUUUGCUGUUCCUUCAUUGCUGGGCUUUCUAAAAUAUUUUCUCUACCCCUGCAGGUGAUGUGGGAUUUCUCACCUUCUGAAAAUCCUGUUCAUGCUGCUGCUUCAUACCACUGGUUUCCCAAGUUGGUGCUGUAACUUCCUCAUUUGCCAUGGAAGGAUUGCUAUCUCAACUCACCUGCGUUGUUUAAAAUCUGAUUACUGGUUUCAGAAAUUGAGAUUACCAUUUCUGGUCCUAUUUAAGACUGAGGGAGAAAUGAGAAAUUCUGAAAUCUUUUCAAGACUGGAAAAUAGCUUUCUACAAGUUCCCCUCAAAUGAGAUUGCAGAAAUUCUUCUUUCUCCUACCCUGGCUCUGUUACCACGCAAUUCUCUUCAUGCUUGUCUCCAAGACCAAAUCUGAGCCAGCCUGAGAUUUGUGCUAACGGUGAGUGCCUGCCUUUUUUUUUUUUUCUUUAAAUAAAACAAUUUCCUAAGGCA